RNAcentral lists this long non-coding RNA (240 nucleotides) under Sinocyclocheilus anshuiensis. RNAcentral describes it as "lncRNA (ENSSANG00000010262.1)". The record is from RNAcentral. Lineage: Eukaryota; Metazoa; Chordata; Actinopteri; Cypriniformes; Cyprinidae.
GCCUGAAGAAAGAGAGUGAGGUUAUAUGUAGGAGAGGCUAUAAUGAUGGCGUGCAGAAAACAAGAAGAGAGGAGACAGAGAGACACAGAGAGCAGAAGUACAUCCUGAUGUCUUCAUCUCUCCGCCCUGCUGCAUAUGGAAAAACCUCACAAAGUCCAACUCACCAGCUAUUUAAGUCUCAAUCUGAGCUAUAAAAAGCCAGAAAAAUGCUGGAUUUCCCAGAGGACAGUUUUGACCCCA